GGGUCAGAGCAACUUUUCUAGGAGCUGAUUGAAUUUGCCUUGUAAUGUAUAUGGUGAACACCCCAUGUACUUGAGGCUAUGCCUAUUAUUAUUUUCAAUAAAAUCUUGUUUGCUGCACAAAAAAGGUAGAUGGUGAACACACUUGCCAAAUAAAAGGGGGAAAAAUAUUUUCUGGGAACUGCACCUGUAUUUCUAUCUUCAAAGAAAGAGAUCAGGACAUCAGGAUUAUUAUUUACGAAUGUGUAUAUUUAGUCAUUGCACAUAGCUUAAACCUUAUUAUAUUGUCAACUUUAGAUUUGUUUUUCAAUUUCCCCGAGACAAGUUAAAACAAAGUAAUGACUAAUGAGGGGUUCUCUUUUGAGAUUUCCGUGCCUUUCCAUAUCUGUUGUUCUCAGCUUGCAGAAUCCCUGUACGAGUACGGGUGUGGAAAUGACAAAAAGGCAUUGGAAUUGCAUGGCCCAGAUGUUGAUGCCAAUAACUGCAAGAUGCUUGGAGCAUCUGAUGAACAACUUGAUGUAUGAAAUCCGGUACAAUAUGUUGCUGAAUACUGGAAAACUGUGAAGGCAAUUGACGUAAUUGAAAAGUGGAUCAAGAAGCGAGAAGGAGUACCUUUUAUGUGGCGCCUCCUGGUAUAACUCUUACCUUGUGUAUGAGCUUCUUGCUUGGUAGUUCACCGUAGUUGUAUGCAAUAGCUUUAAGAAGUUCUUUGACGUGUACAGUCUCAAAAAAAUUAGUAUAAAUUGUUCCUUUUGCUUCGCGAGAGAGGCUAUAACCUUACAGGAAGAAAGGAAGCUGCACUUGCAGGGGAGAAGGCUCAGGCUUUGGAGACUGCAUAUUUCAAGUACCAGUAUGCUUCACAAUCUUUUCUGGUCUCAGCACCUGCAAACUAGUUUAAAGUUGUACCCACACCGAGUUUCUUCGCCCCAUGUAUGAUGAAUUAGUUGUAUAUAAAAAUGCCACGAAUUGAAAGGUACUGAACUUUUUGACAUAACGCAUGCUCCAUGUUUUUUUAUGGAAGAUGUAGAAAAUAUGUAAUUCGGAUAUGAACGAGGAACUGUUUA
Carya illinoinensis is the source of this 1061-nucleotide long non-coding RNA. RefSeq lists it as uncharacterized. The record is from RefSeq and is a predicted model, not a curated record. The transcript is spliced from 3 exons. Lineage: Eukaryota; Viridiplantae; Streptophyta; Magnoliopsida; Fagales; Juglandaceae.